Molecule: ribosomal RNA, 776 nt
Filed under: uncultured Neocallimastigales
Lineage: Eukaryota; Fungi; Neocallimastigomycota; Neocallimastigomycetes; Neocallimastigales
Description: partial large subunit ribosomal RNA
Rfam family: Eukaryotic large subunit ribosomal RNA
Source: RNAcentral
UAGAUGCGAGAGUAGAGCAUAUCAAUAAGCGGAGGAAAAGAAACUAACAAGGAUUCCCUUAGUAACGGCGAGUGAAGCGGGAAGAGCUCAAAUUUGAAAUCUUCAAGGUUCUACCUUGACGAAUUGUAGUUUAUAGAAGUGUUUUCUGUUAGUAGAGUGGCAAAAGUUCUUUGGAAUAGGACAUCAUAGAGGGUGAGAAUCCCGUAUUUGGUCAUUCUUUCUAGCUUUGUGAUACACUUUCAACGAGUCGGAUUGUUUGGGAAUGCAGUCCAAAAUGGGUGGUAAAUUUCAUCUAAAGCUAAAUAUUGGCGAGAGACCGAUAGCGAACAAGUACCGUGAGGGAAAGAUGAAAAGAACUUUGAAAAGAGAGUUAAACAGUACGUGAAAUUGUCAAAAGGGAAGCGUUUGACACCAGUGUUGUUUUUCCGAAAAUCAAUUACGAAUGUUUUAUUUUUGAGAAGUUAUGACUUCAUCGGCUUGCUCCUUUCUUUACUGAAACUUUCUUAAUGCACUUUUCGGUUAACAAGUCAACAUCAAUUUCUUUUGUUGUAAAAGGGUAUGAGGAAGGUGGCUUUCUUUUCGGAGAAAGUGUUUAUAGCCUUGUGCCUCUGCAAUCGGAGAGAUUGAGGUCUGCAGCGUAGAUCCUUCGGGGUUAGAUACGUUUGUGCUAAGUUAUAGCUUUUCAUAGACAACUUGUUGACUAUGUUAAGUCUUGUACUUACUCGCAUGACUGCUAUUUUACCUACGCUUAGGAUGUUGACGCGCGUGUGUGCGUG